GACGAACGCUGGCGGCGUGCCUAAUACAUGCAAGUUGAGCGCUGAAGGUUGGUACUUGUACCAACUGGAUGAGCAGCGAACGGGUGAGUAACGCGUGGGGAAUCUGCCUUUGAGCGGGGGACGACAUUUGGAAACGAAUGCUAAUACCGCAUAAAAACUUUAAACACAAGUUUUAAGUUUGAAAGAUGCAAUUGCAUCACUCAAAGAUGAUCCCGCGUUGUAUUAGCUAGUUGGUGAGGUAAAGGCUCACCAAGGCGAUGAUACAUAGCCGACCUGAGAGGGUGAUCGGCCACAUUGGGACUGAGACACGGCCCAAACUCCUACGGGAGGCAGCAGUAGGGAAUCUUCGGCAAUGGACGAAGGUCUGACCGAGCAACGCCGCGUGAGUGAAGAAGGGUUUCGGAUCGUAAAACUCUGUUGGUAGAGAAGAACGUUGGUGAGAGUGGAAAGCUCAUCAAGUGACGGUAACUACCCAGAAAGGGACGGCUAACUACGUG
Molecule: ribosomal RNA, 497 nt
Filed under: uncultured bacterium
Lineage: Bacteria
Description: partial 16S ribosomal RNA
Rfam family: Bacterial small subunit ribosomal RNA
Source: RNAcentral